Molecule: long non-coding RNA, 1665 nt
Filed under: Capsicum annuum
Lineage: Eukaryota; Viridiplantae; Streptophyta; Magnoliopsida; Solanales; Solanaceae
Description: long non-coding RNA (CANN_LNC002395)
Source: RNAcentral
AAACACACAACACGAUCAAUCAAACCAACAAAACAAAACAAAUUCAAAAUCAUAAUGUCCAGUCCAAUUAUUACAAACUAAAAUAGAAAAAUACAAAAAAAAAAUUAUAAAUUCUAUUCUAAACUAGUCAUAGGCUAAACUCUGCUGCUUUACCCGCUGCCUCGGUUCUUCAUCACGAUCAUUUUUCACCAACAUAGUACGUCGGGACAUUCCCCGGUGAAUAAAUACAAAUACCUCAGAGCAUUCUCCGGCCAAAUAAAUACACUUUUCAAAUGUGGUAAACAAGACAUUCAACAAAUAUUUCAAACAUUUCAAUAAUCCACCAAUUCUAAAUUUGCCUACCCGUCCUAAUGUUGGUCUGCCCGCUCGACGACAUAUUACGUUCAACAUCAACAAUGAACUAAAAUACCAUAAUAUUCACUUUUUACCAAUUUUCAAUCCCCGUCCUGAUUCAUUCUCAAUCACAUGAUUAAGCAAAUCUCGAUUAAAUCAACCAAGCAAACUACGACAAUUAAAUAAAACUCAAACACAAUAUCAAAAAUUAAUCACCAAACUCAAACAUGAAUAACACAAAUCAACGAUAUCAUCACAUAUAAAAUGAAAAGAGAUAGAGUUUGAGAAUUUGGACCUUAAUUUGGAGAUUUCAAUAUAACAGAAAGAGAAUCGCGUCCGAACUCUUGAACCGAACCUCGACAGCAAAUAAAACUCCAAACCUGAUAUUGAUAAGUAAGGAUCCGAAUUGAUUUGAACCUAGAAUCAACCACAUACAGAUUGAACAAGAACUAUUAAAUCAAUCGAGAUAGAAAUCAUGAAGAACCGAGAAACGCCAUGUCAAAAUCCCACCGGAGUCAACUCGAAUCUCAACGAAAUUAAACAAAAUGUCUACUUCAACUUAUUUCAGUUGUUGGUUUGAAUUUUCAGGGGUGAGAGGGACGAUUUUCGUGGUCAAUAAUGUCUAAUCCGUCGUGUGGCAACGGAUUUCGGUGAGAUCAUCGCCGGAAAGCUUCGAUGCUGUCCGGAUUCAGCAAAAACCAUGGGUAAACAGAGAAAAUAUGGGGAUUUCAGACUGGAACCGUCGAACAGAAGAAAUGGGCACCGAUGAAAUGGAUUCCGGAGAAAAUUUUGCUGGAGAUUCUUAAAGAACGAUCGGAUUUUCACCGAGAUACUGUUCUGAUUAACCCAUAGACUGUUUUAAGUUCAUUUUUAUCCAUUUUUUCUCACUAUUUAUGCCUUCUCAAUCUCCUUCUCUCCAAUUUCUGUAUGUGUGUGCAAUUUUUAGCUUGUAGAAUCGAAAAACAACCAAAAAUAGUAUACCGGCAAUAAGUUCGCCGAAAAAAAACUCGAACCCACCUUCUCCCGCUCGAUCUUCUCUCUCUGCGCUACUCUCUCUUUGUUACUCUCUCUCUCCAUAUGUGUGGUUUUUUUAUAUUUCCAUUCAGUGAGGGUGAGUGAGGAUUUUGUAGAUUUUGUUGUUCAUGGAGAAUAGAGACUCCUUCUGUGUGUGAAUAAUCCUCUUUGCUGUAAGGGCAUAUUGAUGAUGAUGAUGAUGGAGAAAAUCUGUGGGGCCCCCUUUCUUUAUGUGUCUACCUCAAUCGAAAAAUAGGAAAUGUGGUAUUGAUAAAAAACACGUGAAAAAAAUGGGGUACGGUUGGUGGUUGGGUUACG